AACGCACGAGACCUGCGGACCUGCGGAAGGAUCAUUAUAGAGUUUUUAACUCCCAAACCCAUGUGAACUUACCUUUGUUGCCUCGGCGGAGCCUACCCGGUACCUACCCUGUAGCGCCCCGCCGGUGGACUUCUAAACUAUUGUUAUUUUAAUGAUAUCUGAGAGUCUUAUUUUAAUAAGUCAAAACUUUUAACAAUGGAUCUCU
RNAcentral lists this unclassified non-coding RNA (205 nucleotides) under soil metagenome. Its description in RNAcentral is "partial contains 5.8S ribosomal RNA, internal transcribed spacer 2, and large subunit ribosomal RNA". The record is from RNAcentral.